GGCCAGCAUGGCGUAGUGGUUUGAGUGUUGGACUAUGAUUCUGGAGACCAGUGUUCAAUUCCCAGCACUUGGUCU
This 75-nucleotide transfer RNA is filed under the name Phrynosoma platyrhinos (Desert horned lizard). RNAcentral's name for it is "tRNA-OTHER". Lineage: Eukaryota; Metazoa; Chordata; Lepidosauria; Squamata; Phrynosomatidae. The record is from RNAcentral.